UAGCUAAAUGCGGAAGAGAUAAGUGCUGAAAGCAUCUAAGCACGAAACUUGCCCCGAGAUGAGUUCUCCCUGAGACUAUAAGUCUCCUGAAGGAACGUUGAAGACUACGACGUUGAUAGGUCGGGUGUGUAAGCGCAGCGAUGCGUUGAGCUAACCGAUACUAAUGAACCGUGAGGCUUAACCUU
Molecule: ribosomal RNA, 185 nt
Filed under: Enterobacter kobei
Lineage: Bacteria; Pseudomonadati; Pseudomonadota; Gammaproteobacteria; Enterobacterales; Enterobacteriaceae
Description: partial 23S ribosomal RNA
Rfam family: Bacterial large subunit ribosomal RNA
Source: RNAcentral